UGCUCUAAAAAUUCUUGUCUUGUUGAAUUUCUACUAAGUUUAGUACCCUUGUUAACUUGGUGUAGUUGGUUUGGAGAAAGGAGACCUUAUUUCAUCAAAGUGAACACAAGUUCAAGUGAAGAAGACUUGAGGAAAAGAUUUUUGACGAAACGGGAAGUGAGUUUGGAAAGGCGUAAAGAGCUUGAAAGGUACUGACGAUAGGUUUGCCGAUCCGUCUGUCUAGGAUAUCUUUUCCGCCAUUUGGAGCGCUCUUUUAUUCAGAGCCAUCUUUUGUUAUGCCUCCAAAAAAGGCGACAGCGGCCCAAAAGGCCAAUGCAGCAGCUGUGGGAGAGACUAGUCGGGCCCAGAGGGUUACCAGGGCCCAUGCUCAUAUUGCUCAUGAUGUUUUGCCCCCGGCAGAGGGCUCUUCCACACCGCCACAU
This is a long non-coding RNA of Lycium barbarum (goji berry), 422 nucleotides long. RefSeq lists it as uncharacterized. The record is from RefSeq and is a predicted model, not a curated record. Lineage: Eukaryota; Viridiplantae; Streptophyta; Magnoliopsida; Solanales; Solanaceae. The transcript has 4 exons.